UCCGCAAUGGGCGGAGCACAACCGCGUGAGGGAGGAAGGCCCUUGGGUUGUAAACCUCUUUUCUGGGGGACGAAAGCUGACGGUACCCCAGGAAUAAGCCUCGGCUAACUCCGUGCCAGCAGCCGCGGUAAGACGGAGGAGGCAAGCGUUAUCCGGAAUUAUUGGGCGUAAAGGGUACGUAGGCGGCUGGUCAAGUCUGGGGUCAAAGGCCACAGCUCAACUGUGGGAAGGCCCUGGAAACUGACCGGCUAGAGUGAGGUAGGGGUUGCGGGAAUUCCCGGUGUAGCGGUGAAAUGCGUAGAGAUCGGGAAGAACACCUGAGGCGGAAGCGCGCAACUGGGCCUCAACUGACGCUGAGGUACGAAAGCUAGGGGAGCGAA
This 380-nucleotide ribosomal RNA is filed under the name uncultured cyanobacterium. RNAcentral describes it as "bacterial SSU rRNA". It matches the Rfam family "Bacterial small subunit ribosomal RNA", at positions 365 to 772 of the family's 1533-position model. The record is from RNAcentral. Lineage: Bacteria; Bacillati; Cyanobacteriota.